UGUGGCUCAUAAAGUUCAUACUGCGUGUAACGAUACAAGUCGAAGCUUGCUGGAGAGUUUAACCUAUAGAUAGACAAGAGGAGCUGGGAAACCUAUUUCUCUUCAUUUUCCUACUGUGUGAGAAUGGAGCUCGGACUUCCGCAGCUUUGGGACACCCUUGUCCCAUCGACGAAUUACAUGUGGGACAAAGUCAAUGACUUGUUCCCAUCUCCCCCGGCACCAACUUUCGAUGCUGGAACAACUGCGGUUCAGAGUAAAGACAAGGGGACGAAGGACUCAGAUCGUCUUUUAUUGCUGAUGUGGGAAACAUGCAUGGCGACUCACCUAAAACGCUGGCAGAUAAGCAUCUACAUAUGACCAAGUAAUGAGACUUGCCCGUCCGUACAUUUUGGAGUGCUAGGAGAGACCAAUCUCUUGGCGGCCUGCAUGGUCUCAUCUCGGCAACCGGUUCGCAAGUUUUUAUCAACGUCAGAACCUGAAAAAUCAAAAUUAAAAUUACUGAAACAUUCAUAUUCAAAAAUAUUUUUUUCUUUUUUUUUUCGCAACCAUAAUCUGCGAUGAUUCGCAAAUAAUGGAUUAAGAUUAAUAUAUCGAUGGCCAAAGUACAAAACCGCGUAUCUCCAUUGCAGUGUUUCGAAAUCUCCGCGCCUGUUUUAUUUUUUCGAUGGAGGACUAGCCAACUUCAAACAAAUUUAUACUAUUUUUCGCUAGAUUAUUUUUAUACUAGAUUUCGCUAACAAAACAGAAAAAUCAAAGAAUUAUGUUGACUAGUCUUCCUAAGAAAAAAUAAAGUAUGAAAGAAAGUCUGCAACGUUGCAAACGGAGGUACGUCCUUCCGUACGUUGACCAUCGAUAUAUUACACACAAAUGUAUUAUUCAUUCAUGGCAUACAUUAUUCAACACAAAAUGUACAGUUUGUUUCGAUUUCAUCUGUCCUGGCAUUCGUUCAUUUCGCUCUUUCAUAAAUUAAAUGCGAAUUCCGUACAUUCAAAAUCAUUUAGAUGUUCAAGUUAAUAAAUAAAUUAAUAAAUAA
Bemisia tabaci is the source of this 1033-nucleotide non-coding RNA. The record is from RefSeq and is a predicted model, not a curated record. Lineage: Eukaryota; Metazoa; Arthropoda; Insecta; Hemiptera; Aleyrodidae.